AGAAUUAUAAUUUAAUAAAAAGACAAACUGUCACUUAUGUCCACAGAAGCACAACCUUCUUAAUUCUA
This 68-nucleotide transfer RNA is filed under the name Docosaccus maculatus. Its description in RNAcentral is "tRNA-Asp". Lineage: Eukaryota; Metazoa; Porifera; Hexactinellida; Lyssacinosida; Euplectellidae. The record is from RNAcentral.